This 35-nucleotide ribosomal RNA is filed under the name uncultured Cenococcum. Its description in RNAcentral is "partial 18S ribosomal RNA". Lineage: Eukaryota; Fungi; Ascomycota; Dothideomycetes; Gloniales; Gloniaceae. The record is from RNAcentral.
AACGUUCCGUAGGUGAACCUGCGGAAGGAUCACUA